UACAGGGGGUGCAAGCGUUAUUCGGAAUUAUUGGGCGUAAAGCGCGCGUAGGCCGCGUGGUAAGUUUGGUGUGAAAGCCCUGAACCUAAUUCAGGAAGUGCAUUGAAUACUGCCACGCUGGAGUACUGGAGAGGAGAGUGGAAUUCCUGGUGUAGAGGUGAAAUUCGUAGAUAUCAGGAGGAACAACAGCAGCGAAGGCGGCUCUCUGGACAGUCACUGACGCUGAGGCGCGAAAGCUAGGGGAGCAAACAGG
Molecule: ribosomal RNA, 253 nt
Filed under: uncultured bacterium
Lineage: Bacteria
Description: partial 16S ribosomal RNA
Rfam family: Bacterial small subunit ribosomal RNA
Source: RNAcentral